Molecule: small RNA, 564 nt
Filed under: Pan troglodytes (chimpanzee)
Lineage: Eukaryota; Metazoa; Chordata; Mammalia; Primates; Hominidae
Description: processed transcript
Source: RNAcentral
GUGCUUUAGAAAUAGAUCACAUUCUAGCUAUGCACAAUGGCUCACGCCUGUAAUCCCAACAAUUUGGGAGGCUAAAACCAGGAGUUUGAGACCAGCCUGAGCAACAUACUGAGACCCCAUCUUUCCAAAAAGUAUUUAAAAAUUAUCUAGGCAUGGUGGCACAUGCCUGUGGUCCCAGCCACCUGCGAGGCUGAGGUGAGAGGAUUGCUUGAGCCUAGUAGUUCAAGGCUGCAGUGAGCUAUGAUCAUGCCACUGCACUCCAGCCUGGGAGCUGCUGCAGGCUUAGUGCCUGGUGGGCCAGGCUUUGGCCCGGGAGUAGUUGGUGUCCCAGGAGCUGGCGUUCCAGGUGUUGGUGUCCCAGGAGCUGGGAUUCCAGUUGUCCCAGGUGCUGGGAUCCCAGGUGCUGCGGUUCCAGGGGUUGUGUCACCAGAAGCAGCUGCUAAGGCAGCUGCGAAGGCAGCCAAAUACGGGGCCAGGCCCGGAGUCGGAGUUGGAGGCAUUCCUACUUACGGGGUUGGAGCUGGGGGCUUUCCCGGCUUUGGUGUCGGAGUCGGAGGUAUCCCU